This 961-nucleotide long non-coding RNA is filed under the name Capra hircus (goat). RNAcentral's name for it is "lncRNA (ENSCHIG00010013944.1)". The record is from RNAcentral. Lineage: Eukaryota; Metazoa; Chordata; Mammalia; Artiodactyla; Bovidae.
AAAGCAAAGGACUGGAAGGCCGAGAGAGCCGUUUCCCAGCCGUUUUCCCACGGUCAGGUGCAGUGUCUGGGCUUGGACAGGUUUUGUCCGUUUCCUAGGCGCCUGCUCUUUUUGUAACAAAGGACGUUCCCAUUCUGUUCCUUUUCUUCGUCGUCAGUUUUGUCUAUUCCCAGAAACCAAGUGCAUUUUUUGCUCUUCUUUGUCCUGGGCACAAGAACUCUCUUUCUGAAAGUGUUUUAGGAAUUGGGUAUGGGGGGGGGGUGUGGUGUGGUCUGUGGCAUGAUGGGAGUGUGUAAGGUUUGGUGUGGUCUGUGGCAUGAUGGAGUGUGUAAGGUUUGGUGUGGUCUGUGGCAUCAUGGGAGUGUGUAGGAUUUGGUGUGGUCUGUGGCAUCAUGGGAUUGUGUAAGGUUUGGUGUGGUUUGCUGUUACCUGGAGGUAUAAGGAAUGACCCAGCUGGCCUCUAGAGGUCCCUUCUCAUCAGAGAAUCAUAGAAUCUCCAUAGAUUGUUCAGAGUAAGAAUUUUAUUCCAGGUUCUUCCACCAGACUUUUGCUUCAGGUAUCAGCGAUCUUGGGCUGUCUCACGGAGAGUUCACAUUGAACACAUUUCAGUGGAAACACCAGCCUGUGAGGACUCCACAAGCCAGUCUAUCUGGAUGCCCAGGCAUUGGGAGGUGAAUAGGUAACAGCUCAACCUAUUAAUGCCCUUCCUUGUUGUACUAGAAAUAGUGCCAUUGGCAUCUCUCCUGGGGAAACUUGAAAAAAUUUUAAGUAAUAUGAACAUCAUAUUUCUUUAAGUUCAGAGUCUCCACUAAAGGGUAAAAUGUAACGUUAUUCUUGCAUUCUUUGAGAUUAUUUUGCUUCUUCAGGAGUAGGUUGAUGGAAUCCUGCUAUAAUAAAUAAAUAAUGCCAUUAACAUCUUUUAAAUGGUCAAGUGAUAGUAUUUUUAGGAAAGGAAGAAUUG